RNAcentral lists this ribosomal RNA (433 nucleotides) under uncultured bacterium. RNAcentral describes it as "partial 16S ribosomal RNA". It matches the Rfam family "Bacterial small subunit ribosomal RNA", at positions 29 to 507 of the family's 1533-position model. The record is from RNAcentral.
AGCGAACGCUGGCGGCAGGCUUAACACAUGCAAGUCGAGCGGGCACUUCGGUGUCAGCGGCAGACGGGUGAGUAACACGUGGGAACGUACCCUUUGGUUCGGAAUAACGCUGGGGAACUAGCGCUAAUACCGGAUACGCCCUUUUGGGGAAAGGCUUGCUGCCGAAGGAUCGGCCCGCGUCUGAUUAGCUAGUUGGUGGGGUAAUGGCCUACCAAGGCGACGAUCAGUAGCUGGUCUGAGAGGAUGAUCAGCCACACUGGGACUGAGACACGGCCCAGACUCCUACGGGAGGCAGCAGUGGGGAAUAUUGGACAAUGGGCGCAAGCCUGAUCCAGCCAUGCCGCGUGAGUGAUGAAGGCCUUAGGGUUGUAAAGCUCUUUUGUCCGGGACGAUAAUGACGGUACCGGAAGAAUAAGCCCCGGCUAACUUCGUG